This 70-nucleotide ribosomal RNA is filed under the name Anopheles subpictus. RNAcentral's name for it is "partial 28S ribosomal RNA". The record is from RNAcentral. Lineage: Eukaryota; Metazoa; Arthropoda; Insecta; Diptera; Culicidae.
CCUCAAGUGAUGUGUGACGACCCCUGAAUUUAAGCAUACACCAUGUGUCCCUGAUAUUUUGCAGUUCACA